Molecule: long non-coding RNA, 1146 nt
Organism: Mangifera indica (mango)
Lineage: Eukaryota; Viridiplantae; Streptophyta; Magnoliopsida; Sapindales; Anacardiaceae
Exons: 6
Source: RefSeq, a predicted model, not a curated record
GAUGGCUUGAGUCGCUUGACCUCACACUUUCCCUCCCCAAUUUUAAAACCUGCUCACUUCCUGACUGGCUGACUCUCUAAACCAAAACCAAAACAAAAACAAAGAUUAUUCGAAAGAAGAAGAGACUCCAGUGACUCAUCACAAUCUAAUUCAUCGCCGUCACCUUCACAGUUUCCGUCUAUUUUGUCUUCGGUUAUCGGUCCGGCGAGGCCGAUCCGAUUUGUGUACUACGAUGAGAAAGGAAAAUUCCGGAUGGAUCCUGGGCAGUCGCGGCGAUCCAGCUCAUCAAUGAGCCCAUUGGUGUAAUUUCUGUCUGCGCGGUCGCGCUCGCCAGGGUCGUUGGCCCUUGUGAUGUUCACAGGUUGAACAUAUUGCUCAUGUCUGGUUUGAGCUCCUUGGGAGGAGUGGUGGAUUUCAAGUAGCAUCAACCUACAGCCCAUGUACGAAAGGACUAUGGUUGUGAAGUUCACCUUUGUAGAGAAGUGCGCUUGAUGGAACUAAGUACAAUGUUUUACUAUUAGAUAGUGAAGAUGGGUGGAAUCGAUGAAGCUGCCCUUGAUUGUAUUUCUUUGGUCACUCAAAUGACAAAGCAUGUACGUGUGAGAGCCACAGGAGGAAGGACUAUGGCUUCUGAACUUGGGCAGUUCUCCCCAAUUUUUGUUUGGCUUCUAAGGGACUUAUAUUUGGAUUUGGUAGAGGACAAUGGUAGAAUAACCCCCGUGACUACUUAGAGAUUGCAUUAAGUCUUCCUUACGUCAUGAAUGUUUUCAUGAAUGCUUCAAGGAAAGAAAUGAGCUUGUGAUUUCUAAUUAACUAGUUAGCGUGAACCAUGUGGAGACCAUGGUUGGCAGCGAAAGCAGAGACAACAACGUGAUUAGAAGAGCUAAGACAAAGGAUAAGCUGGUAAGAGCAGAGUUAGCAUUUCCAGCUUGAUGGAAGCAGUGCCGGCAAGGGAGUCUUCUUGUUGAGCUUGGUUGUCAUUGUCACUAGCUUAGCUUCCCUGGUUGGCACGGCUAAGCAAGCAAACCAGACCAUGAUCAGGUGGAAAUUGGUUUUAGAAUUUCAACUUAUAUUUGAAAAUUGAUUUGAGAUAAUUGACAAAGAAAGAAAAUAAUAGGUUUUUUCAACGGGACGAAGAUUGGUGAA